RNAcentral lists this ribosomal RNA (372 nucleotides) under uncultured bacterium. Its description in RNAcentral is "bacterial SSU rRNA". It matches the Rfam family "Bacterial small subunit ribosomal RNA", at positions 527 to 896 of the family's 1533-position model. The record is from RNAcentral.
GUAGGGUGCGAGCGUUGUCCGGAAUUAUUGGGCGUAAAGAGCUCGUAGGUGGCGGGUCACGUCGGGUGUGAAAGCCCGGGGCUUAACUCCGGGUCUGCAUUCGAUACGGGUCUGCUGGGGUCCGGCAGGGGAGACUGGAAUUCCUGGUGUAGCGGUGAAAUGCGCAGAUAUCAGGAGGAACACCGGUGGCGAAGGCGGGUCUCUGGGCCGGUACCGACGCUGAGGAGCGAAAGCGUGGGGAGCGAACAGGAUUAGAUACCCUGGUAGUCCACGCCGUAAACGUUGGGCGCUAGGUGUGGGGGGCAUUCCACGUCCUCUGUGCCGUAGCUAACGCAUUAAGCGCCCCGCCUGGGGAGUACGGCCGCAAGGCUA